RNAcentral lists this ribosomal RNA (253 nucleotides) under uncultured bacterium. Its description in RNAcentral is "partial 16S ribosomal RNA". It matches the Rfam family "Bacterial small subunit ribosomal RNA", at positions 524 to 776 of the family's 1533-position model. The record is from RNAcentral.
UACGUAGGGGGCUAGCGUUGUCCGGAUUUAUUGGGCGUAAAGAGCGUGUAGGCGGCCAGGUAGGUCUGCUGUGAAAACUCGAGGCUUAACCUCGAGAUGUCGGCGGAAACCAUCUGGCUAGAGUCCGGAAGAGGAGAGUGGAAUUCCUGGUGUAGCGGUGAGAUGCGCAGAUAUCAGGAAGAACACCCGUGGCGAAGGCGGCUCUCUGGGACGGUACUGACGCUGAGACGCGAAAGCGUGGGGAGCGAACAGG